RNAcentral lists this transfer RNA (85 nucleotides) under Felis catus (domestic cat). It matches the Rfam family "tRNA". Rfam says of the family: Transfer RNA (tRNA) molecules are approximately 80 nucleotides in length. Their secondary structure includes four short double-helical elements and three loops (D, anti-codon, and T loops). Further hydrogen bonds mediate the characteristic L-shaped molecular structure. tRNAs have two regions of fundamental functional importance: the anti-codon, which is responsible for specific mRNA codon recognition, and the 3' end, to which the tRNAs corresponding amino acid is attached (by aminoacyl-tRNA synthetases). tRNAs cope with the degeneracy of the genetic code in two manners: having more than one tRNA (with a specific anti-codon) for a particular amino acid; and 'wobble' base-pairing, i.e. permitting non-standard base-pairing at the 3rd anti-codon position. The record is from Rfam by way of RNAcentral. Lineage: Eukaryota; Metazoa; Chordata; Mammalia; Carnivora; Felidae.
GCCUGGGUGGCUCAGUCGGUUGGGCGUCUGACUUCAGCUCAGGUCAUGCUCUCACACUCCAUGAGUUCGAGCCCCGCUUCAGGCU